GCGCUGGUGCGGGUUGUCGCGGGGGAUCUGGAAGAAGACAGCUGUAGGGAGAGGCCUGAUCCCAGGAGCGAGUUCUUUGGGGUACCUGGCAUCUACUUCAUUCCAAGCAUCAUCCUCCGAAAAUGCACAUAUUCCCUCUGAAGCAGAGCCAGAGGAAAUUGCACUGCCUUGCCAUCAUCUGGCUCAGCAGACUGGCUGGGGUAUCUAUCCUUCAGUAAGACAUAUCCAGGAGCCUUGAUUGCUAUGGAAGCCGGUCCAAAUUGGGACUAUGACUAUUCUAAAGCUACUUCCUCAGAAGGAUUUUCGGGGGUGGGCUCCAUAUGCCCAAAAGGCUAUGAGGGCGUUUGGGAACAGGAAAGAACUCCACACACAGGCCUGAAGGAUCCCAGCUGCCCAAGGCUGGCCGGCAAGUGCCUACGUAACACAUGUGCAUGCGGCAAAGGUCAGACGAGCUAGGGACCUGUUACAAGUAAAGUGUCUGGGGAGGCCUGGUCCCAGGAGCAGGCUGACAGGGGAUAUAAGGCAUCUGCCUAAUUCCAAGCCGUAAUCCACACAAAUGUGCAUAUUCUCCCUGAAAGUAAAGCUGGAGGUGUAUGGACUACCCGGCCAAGACAGGGAUGACCAGGCUGCUGGGACAUCCCACACUGAGACAUCUGAGAGCCCAGAUUACGGACUAGCUAGAAGAACCUUGAAAGGUAGAGAAAUAUUUCUCCUCUCCAAAAGUUGCUGUAGUCGGCAGAAUAAACUUCUCUGGCCGGACAUUGCUGCAGCUGAGAGACCCUGGGACAUCUUCCAAAAACCAGAAGAAGAUCAUCAGAAGAAAAUAUUCAUGGAACCAGUUCCUUGGGCUUGGCAACUCUUAUAAAUUUGAAAUAACCACAUUUCCUGGUCAAUUGCACUGUAAUGAACUUGAAUCAGAUCCUUAACCAUGGCCAUUACUAAGUCUUGUAUCAUUUACAGACAGUUAUAUUUUAUUUGGAUGCUUUUGCAAAGGGGUUCCUGAAGAAAUGUUUCAUCUUCAAGGAGAUUCAUGAAAAAGACAAAAAUAUAGGUGUCUCAUAAUUUAAAUAUCACAAAACUGAAGUUGGUAAAAACUUCCAGAAUUAAUGGGAAAAACAGGAUGAAGCAAAACAAGAAUUACUUGGGACAAAAUAAAUUGAAGAGAAUGAUUAUGAUUUUUAUGACUUUUUGUUUGAAACAUUACUAAGUUUAAAAAAAAUUUUUUUUCCAGAUUUAAGGAAAAAAUUUUUAAACUGCUAUACGGUAGCUUGGUAAAUUACACCUUUGUAAGCAGAACUGAAACAUUUAUCUUUUUUUCCCUAUCUGAUCCCUCCAGAAUUCAAUUCAGAAACAGUAUCCUUAUAUUUUCAUGACAAUAUAUGUAUUGCAUACAUUCAGUAAGAAUCUGCUCUUCUUGCAACAGGAUACAAUUAGAUACACUGGUUAUAUUAACAAGGCUUUGACAGGAAUGUCAUAUUUGAGAGAAACAUGCAUGGACUCAGAUAUGACCGGACAGCUUUAAGGAACUAAGGUUGGCUUUUUUGGAGGCAAAUAAAGCCCCUGGGAAAACGGCCUGACACCCUGCUUUACAGGGUUCCCAGAAGCCUUACCAGGUAGGUAAAGGCCAUUUCCUGGCAGGUGCAAGAACCCAAGGAUAUUUUGAGGACCAUGAAAAGAGGGAGUAACACCAAUCUAUAGGUAUUGCAGAUAAAGACUGACAGCUGUGUUUCUUAGUCUUGAGAGACUGUUGACGUUUCUCUAUGAAAAAUUCCAGCAAAAAUUUUAAGAAGUGUUUAUGACCAAAUGCUGUUCUUGCUGCAAAUAAUCAGAUCAAGUUUACUAAAACUAAACUUGUUUUAUAAAUAAGACUUUAUCUGGCUAAUUUUGAAAAUAGGGUGACUUCAGAGAGAAAAAUUAAGUCUCAGUAACACAGCUUUGUAGGUAUUAUAUCAUGGUUCUUUUGUCUUUGAGGUUUUGUUUCCUACCUGUAAACUGGACUAGAUCCCAGAUUCUAGUUUCCUCCAUAGUAUGGCUACAACUCUCCAAAAUAACAUUUCUAAUUUUCUCCCAUCCUUUUGACUUGGAAUCAUUGAGAACCAAAACUUCCCUUUUUUCUGAAGCUCUGCAAACCGAAUAUGAAUGACUUUAUAUAAACUUCAAGAAAAUCACCACAGCAGCCCAUAUAUAAUUUUCAUGCCUGCUGCUCUAUGGGCCACUCCAAAAGAUCACCAGAGACAUUCACACUACAAACCAGGAAACUCUGUCAGAUUGUCACUGCCUGCUCUCCAUCUGAAGAUGCUUUGAGCCUGCUAUCUAUGCAGGUGUUUCUCCACAGGCCUGGAGGUCCAUGGCUGCCCAAAGUUGGCAAACUAGGUAGAGCUAGAGAAAUCUGAACUGCUUGACCAUGGCUGGAUUGGGCAGGCUGGCCCAGGUGUCCCCCAAAAAGAGACAGCUGGGAACCUCGAUUGCUGCAGAAACCCAAGAUCACUCAAAAUAGUAGAGAAAAAAUUUUCUUCCCCAUCAGUUGGCAUAGGGGUGGGAUAAAUUUCCCAGACUGGAUACUGUUUGCUUUGAGGCUGCUGCAGCUGAGAGAUGCCAACACGUCUGAUCAACAGCUGGCAGAAGUUAUAGAUUUCAUUGUGUCUUUGAAGUGUGAACACAGCCCACAAUCUCUUGAAAAUGAAAAAGAAAAAAAUGGAAGGAAAGAGGCCUUGUUAAAAAUACAAAGUGCAAUUAGUACUCUUGCCCAAACUAUAGAUGACAGCUUCUAGAAGAUUACUUCCAGGGACAAAUACCAGUGUUAAGAGACCUCUCCAAAAAUAGCAAAUUACUUGAAUCAUCUGAGUAAAUUAAUAUUCCCCCUACGAUUCAAAAACUGUGAAUUUACAGGCUCUGGUUUAAGAUUGUGAUGUAAGAUCCUGAACUCACCUCCUCCGCAGACACACCAAAUAUACACCUAUUUCUAGAGUAAUUCCCUCUGAAAAACUGAGGGCUGAGAAGCUCCUGCACAAAGACUGAGAGAAGGGCAGGAAAGAUGGAGACACUGGAAGAAAGGAACUCUCACUUUGAUGCUAUAGAUUGCAGCAAGGAGGAAUAGAACCCAAGGGAUUAUGAACAGAUCUGUUUGCCUGGGGCACAGAAAAAAACCAAAAAACAAAAAACCUGCAGUUCAAAAGAUCAACUGGAAUAUAAAGGAACUAGCCCUAGAACCCUGCCCUGUGAUGAGGGGUGUUCUGGAACUCUGUGGGUCCAACAGGCUGCUGAGCACCUUGGUUUACAUUCCCCAGCCACCCUGAUAACGCAGAUGGAAGCAGCGUCCAGAGCCAUAGCUGUCCUUCUAUGUCCUCAGUGAACCCUGGGCCCCUACCACAUACCAGCCCCAGGUCCCCUGGGUACUGACAGAAAAGCUGUGGUUUCAAGAGCAGCUAGAAUGUAGAAGAUCCAGCCCUAGAACUCUGCCAGAUGGAAAGAGAGUGGUUGGAACCCUGGGUCAGAGGGGCUGGCGAGUACCACCGUUUAUGUUCCUUCUCCACCUUGGUAGAAAGGAUGGAAGCAGCGUCCAGGUGUCUCGGCUGGCCUACCACCUCAUGGGCCUGGAGCCCCUAGCCCACACCUGUCCCAGUCAUCUCAGUAAAGUGUCCCCAGUGCAGUGCACACCAGCCUAGCCCUGGGCAGUGUUUACUACAGCUCCAGCCAUGUCACCAAGGUGACAGAGAGGUAAAGCAUGCCAGAACACUCCAGAACCAUACCACUUUGGCUCCAGAUGACUUGUAGGGCAUCUCUGGUGCAGAGCACUCUGGGACCUCCCAGCUUAGGCCUGCCUCUGCUUCCGCUGCCCCACCAGGGCACCCCUUUUGCUGAGCACCCCAGGACACCCCAGCUUGCACCCAUUUCAACUUUAUCCAUCCUUCCAGGGCACCCUCUGCACAGAGAACCCUGGGACCACCAAUCUCAUGCCCACAUCAGCUGUGGCCAUCCCACCAGGACAGGCCCAGGAUGGUAUACCCCAGGACCCCCAUACCAGCCACAGUUCCAGCCAACCAGCCAAAGUCACCAGGCACACAUAAUCUACAUAGGGGUUGACCAUACACAAGACCACGUUCUCAAGUUUAAGAGAAGUAGCUGUUCCAUCUAAUUCAAAGAAGCAAACACAGAAAGUCCAGCAAAAUGAAGGGAUAGAAGAAUGUGCUCCAAAUGAAAGAACAAGACAAAGCCUCAGAAAUAAAACUAAAUGAAAUGGAGAUAAGCAACAUGCCUGAGAAGACAUU
RNA transcript from Leopardus geoffroyi (Geoffroy's cat), 4268 nucleotides. RefSeq lists it as uncharacterized. The record is from RefSeq and is a predicted model, not a curated record. The transcript is spliced from 8 exons. NCBI's taxonomy places the organism in Eukaryota, Metazoa, Chordata, Mammalia, Carnivora, Felidae.